GGAGCCCAGAAACCAUCUUUCCUGCCCGCCCAACUUAACAGCCCUGAUUUUCUUGGGCCUCACGCCAGUCCCAGAACUGGUCCCAUGCCUAGCCAAUCAGACGUGGUCACUCCUAGUCUCAGUGGUGGUUGAGAGAGGGCACGUGACCCAUCAGAAUCAGUAAGAGUUUGUUCCGGGACUUUUCUGAAACUGUUAGAAAGAGGAACUUUUUCCACUGAGAUGGCUGAGAGGAGGGGAUGAAAGCAGAAGCAGGUGGCAGCCACCUUGGCACCAUGAGUUCCAGAAAAGACUGGACCGUGGUUCUUUGUCCCCAACAAUCACAAGCAAAUGUGUCUCCCAAGAUCAAAGUUGGGGCUGCUUCCGGAAGUGUACGGGGAGGAGACAGAGCUGUUCUCCCUGCAGUAUGUGCCCCGCGGAGGGAAGGCGCUCACAAGCACAAACCCAUCUCGGGAGAACAAGCAGACCUCUCGCCAGUCAAAAAACAAAAUAAGCCAUGCACCAUCCGGGGCUGGUCACCAGCUGAUUUUCUCAGAUCAGCACUUAAAGGCUCCCUCUGCCUGGCUGAGGCUGCAGAUCUUCAAGUCUAAAAACUGUGGCCCGUCCAUUAGGUGACUCAGACUGAGGGCAAUUUAUUCAAGCAAAGAAUCGCUGAGGAUGGCAGAGUCUCCCUGUUUGAAUGUGUCAGUAUGUCAGAAAUACAGCCCUGAAUCAGACAAGAAGCCGUGCUACACCGGACCGGCCAGUGCCUGGAAAACAGCAGGUCACCACAUGGGGGACCAGCCAGUUCCCUGGCCAGUUCACUCACCUAAGCCUCAAUUACUUUGCCUGUCAGCAGAGAAAGGUGGCCUGUCCCCUUCACAGAGGCGUCCCCAGAACCAAACGAGCAACACAGAUGGACCUGGAGAAUGUCAUUCUAAGAGAGGUGUUACAGCAGUGACCCAUGAAAACAGAAGCUCUCUGAAGUGCUCAGUGAGGACAAGAGUGUCAAGGGAACCCAGCGGGGUGGCACCAACCACACCCUUCCCCUCGGGUGCCCUGCAAAGGCCCUGCUCCCAGGGGAAACCCCAGGAUGUUUUCAGUGACAGCUAAGCAGGCAUCCUUCCCUUCUCGGCCUUUUUUGACUCCUUCUGA
Non-coding RNA from Vicugna pacos (alpaca), 1131 nucleotides. NCBI's taxonomy places the organism in Eukaryota, Metazoa, Chordata, Mammalia, Artiodactyla, Camelidae. The record is from RefSeq and is a predicted model, not a curated record.